AUUAUGACAUCAGUAACCACCCGAGGCUCUUGUCAUGAGCUGCCAAGGCUAUGGAAGCCUUGAGCUCACAAACUCCAACCAAUAAGGGACAAUCCUUAUGGCUACAGGCCAUUGACGACGACGACACAGACACCCUACAGUCCCAUCUUCCUUCCAUGUGGGUGGCAGGAGUCAGUCUGCACAUGCGAUGCUGCCGAAAGGUGAAGGACAGAGACAUCAGAGCACGUCAGCCAAUGAGCCAGGGCGCCACCUGGGUGCCAGACCCGACCCUCCCUGGGGGAAGCCAGACCCCAAGGUAAGGACACCUAACUUGAAGAACAAAGCCAUUAGACAUCUAUAUUAGUUGUCUACUGCUGAGUAACACAUUUCCUGAAGACUCGUAGCUUCAAACAGCAAUAAAUAUUUAUUAUCUCACAGUUUCUGCAGGUUCAGGAGCUGGCAAAGGGCUGCGAUGAGCGGUUCUGACUUAGGAUUUCUCAGGAUACUGCAGUCAUCGGAAGGUUAGCCUGGGGCAGGAGGAUCUACUGCCAAGGUGGCUCACUCACAUGGCAGGUGCAGGCUGUUGGUGGGAGACCUCGGGUAUGUCCCAUGUGGGCCUCACCACAGCUGCUACAGUGUCCUUGUGACAAAGCAGCAGGCCUCCCUCAGAGCAAGCAGCCCAAAACACAGAGUGCCAAGUAGAAGAGCCCCUGUCUAUAACUCAACCUGGGAAGUCACAUGGCAUCCUGUCAGUCUCAUUCUACUUGUUAGCAGCAAAUCCCUAAGUCCCACCUUUGUCCAAUGGAAGAAAAUAAAGACUCCACUUUUUUGGAGGAAGAAGGUCAGCGAAUCUGCAACAGAUGUUAAUAGCUACAGAGGCAGAACUGGAAUUCUCGUUUAUUUCCUUCUAACUUCACAACUUCCACUGUUGCUUUGAUACACAAAAUAAGAGAAAACUGUCAUAAACAUUCCCACAGUGACUUCCACAUCUAUAGCAAACAUCAUAAGCAGUUCUGAACUUGUUCUCUGCAGCUGGACUUGGCCUUGGAAUAUCACAUCAUGUACGAGCAAUCACAUGGAAUCGGCACAGAAGCAGAAACCCAGUCCCUCCCUGGCCCAGGACAUCCUCUAUAGAAGAAAUGCACAGUGCUCGCUUCGGCAGCACAUAUACUAAAAUUGGAACGAUACAGAGAAGAUUAGCAUGGCCCCUGCGCAAGGAUGACACGCAAAUUCGUGAAGCGUUCCAUAUUUAAAAAAAAAGAAGAAGAAGAAGCAAUGCACAGUGGCCUGGGAAAGCAGUGGAAGAUGGCCCAAGUCCUUGGCCUCUGAACCCACAUAGGAGACCUGGAAGAAGCUCCUGGCUCCUGGCUUUGGAUGUGCUCAGCUCCAGCCGUUUCAGCCAUCUGAAUAGUAAACCAGUGGAUGGAAGACCUCUCUCUUUCUCUCUCUCUCUCUCUCUCUCUCUCUCUCUCUCUCCUCCGUCUCUCUGUAACUCUGCCUUUCAGAUAGAAUAAAUAAGUCUUAAAAAAGAAAGGUUAUUGGUGGUGUCCUUUAUGAUGCGUCUCUGGAGAGAUCUCCAACAGAAGACUAUUUUAUCAGGUCAAUUACGAAGUAAACAGGGUGUUAUAAACACCAUGCCAUUGCUUGUGCCCCUACUGUCCUCAAUGUUUUGGAAAGAUUGAAAUGAUAAAUAAUACUUUUAAAUUGAAAUUGGCAAGGUCAAUUGGUUACCUUGGCCAAGGAUACUAUCAUUGGCUUUAAUGGAUGAGAUGGUUACUAGAAGGGCUAUGUCCUUAACAACAGACUCAUACGUAUGUCUCGUUCUCCUGAUUUGACUAAAUACUUCAGGGCUUUAAUGCCUUUGCCAAAGUACUCUUUCACCAGGUAAAGGAAGCUCUUUAAAAUCCAUCAACUGAUGGUAACAGACUCCCCACAGUAUAGAACUUGAAAACAAGGUCUUUUGAAAGUGAAAUCAGAAAGACUUCACUAGACGCCCAUUCAAAGAGACUCUGUGAGGUUCUUCUCACCACCCACCCAGCAGUCAAGCCUGAGGGUCUCAAGCCUUGGGUACUGUAAGAGAUCCCCUCCAGAAUCCUGGAACUGUGCACCUGUUGGAGACUUUAAAGUAAAGAUGACCAGUGAAAACUUCCACAAAAGUAGAUGACUUUCUAGAUGUAGACAACUUCUCCGAAGAUGUCAGAACAAGACUCUCCAUCCUAGUGACAUCCUUUUCCCUCCUAAUUAUUUUCUUGCUUUCUCCUGACAAGAUAAUGCUAUUCCCAGACAUCACCAUUCUUGAAGACAUUUCUCAUUCCCUGUUUUAACUCAGUUAUUGGGCGUUAGAUUACUUACUAGUGAAAGAGGGAAGAGUUUAUGCGAGUAACAUUUUUGUUGAGCAUGGAUAAAUACAGUUACAAUAAAACUAACAAAGAGGCUAUUUGGUUAAAAUGGGUAGACUCCUCAUCUGGCUCACUUUUUGAUCUAUUUGAUUUUAGUUGGUUUGGUUCAAGGGGAUCCAUGCUCUAAACUCUUGGUGUUAUCCUGCUAAUAGUCACAAUAGUAGUGUUGUCUUCUCUCAAAGUCUUCAAUGUCCACAUGCAGCCAUUAGCAGAAUGGUUUCUUCUUGACUUGGAUUAACAAGAACUGAAAGGCGUGAUCGUGAGGAUACUGUAAUCUCUGAAUUUGGGGCUGAGACUGGAAG
This is a non-coding RNA of Oryctolagus cuniculus (rabbit), 2680 nucleotides long. The record is from RefSeq and is a predicted model, not a curated record. Lineage: Eukaryota; Metazoa; Chordata; Mammalia; Lagomorpha; Leporidae.